AGUGAACGCUGGCGGUAGGCCUAACACAUGCAAGUCGAACGGCGGCACAGUAAGAGCUUGCUCUUACGGGUGGCGAGUAGCGGACGGGUGCGGAAUACAGCGGAAUGUACUUUUUCGUGGGGGAUAACGUAGGGAAACUUACGCUAAUACCGCAUACGACCUACGGGUGAAAGCAGGCGAUCUUCGGACCUUGCGCGAUUGAAUGAGCCGAUGUCGGAUUAGCUAGUUGGCGGGGGAGAGGCCCACCAAGGCGACGAUCCGUAGCUGGUCUGAGAGGAUGAUCAGCUACACUGGAACUGAGAGACGUUAGAGACUCCGACACGGGGAAGCAGUCGGGAAUAUUGCAGGAUGCGGCAGUGCCGGAUCCUGGACUACCGCCGGAGUCAAGAAGGCCCUCGGGUGCGUGAGCCAUUUUGUUGGGAAGGAAAAGCAGCAGGUUCAUCGCCCACUGUUCUGACGGUACCCAAAGAAUAAGCACCGGCUAACUUCGUG
This 492-nucleotide ribosomal RNA is filed under the name uncultured bacterium. RNAcentral's name for it is "partial 16S ribosomal RNA". It matches the Rfam family "Bacterial small subunit ribosomal RNA", at positions 29 to 507 of the family's 1533-position model. The record is from RNAcentral.